GGCGAGCAGCAGGUUUGCAAAAAAAAAAAACCGGAAUUUCCCCCCAAAGCAGCAGAUUUGCGAAAAAUCCCAGCAACUUCCCGAAAAAGCGGCUGAUUUGGAAGAAAAGCAGCAAGUUUCUGAAAAAGCAGCAGGUUUGCAAAGGAAACCCAGCAAGUUUCUGAAGAAGCAGUGGAAUCGCCAAAAAAACCCCCAAAACAACAACCAAAAAAACCUCAAGUUUCUGAAAAAGCAGCGAGUUUCCAAAGAAAAAUAAAGCCAAUUUCCAAUCCGCUGUGGGCGAGCGAGCGUUAUCCGAAGAGUUUCGCUGCCAGACGCUGAUAAACGUCCCUCGGCUGAGCUGAGCAGCGGACACCAUGGAUGCACGGCGCUGGAGGGGUCUCCCGCCCAGGAAUCUUUCCGACUGUCCCAACGGCUCCCGCUGGGUGAUGGACGUGUUCAACGAAUGUGCCCAGGACGGCCAGGACAUCGCCAGCGUCGUCCUGGGUCUGGUUUCCAUCUUCUGCUUCGCGGCUGCCUCUUUUCCGCAGUUUUACCAAGCCUGCAAAACAGGCAUCAUGGACCGGGCUCUAUCCAUAUAUUUCCUGCUGGGAUGGCUGGGCGGAGACCUCCUAAACCUCAUCGGUUCCUUCCUGGCCGAUCAGUUGCCCCUGCAGGUUUACACAGCUGUUUACUAUGUGCUCGCAGACCUGGUGAUGCUGUCUCUCUACUGCUACUACAAAGUGAAGAACCGGGGUGGAGGAUUCGCUACCCCAGUCAAUGCAGCCUUUGUCUUCCUUUCCCUGGGGACGGUGUCGACCGUCUCCUUCCUGGGCAGAGGUGCUGUCGUGGCACAGGACCCGGCGACGUUUAAAGGGAGGUCCCUGCUGUCCGCUCAUGUGGAUGAGCUUGGGUCGAAGCCUUUCACCAGGAGUGAGAUCAUUGGCUUUACCAUUGGCUCCAUCUCCUCCGUGCUGUACCUGUGCUCCCGAGUCCCCCAGAUCUACACUAACUACAAGAGGAAAUCCACCACCGGCGUCUCCUACUCCCUCUUUGCGCUGGUGAUGCUGGGGAACUUGCUCUAUGGCCUCAGCGUCCUCCUGAAGAACCCCGAGCCGGGGCAAGGUGAAGGCGACUACGUCCUGCGCCACCUCCCCUGGCUGGUGGGCAGCCUGGGCGUACUUUCCCUCGACGUGGUCAUCUCCUUCCAGUUCCUUGCUUAUCGGAGAGGAACACCCGCUGCCUGUGGAGAGAGGGAUGCUCUUCUCAGCGAGCGGGGUGACAGCCUGGAGAGCUGACAAAGGGACCGGCCCUGGAGUGAGAAUAGGAUGAUGCAGACGAGAAAGCUGGCCUUAACGCCUGGCAAACGGGCGCCUCCAUCCUGGUGGCUCUUGGGAGAAGAGGACCUGAGCCAGUGGGUGACAUGUUGUGCUGCUAAGACGCUGAGCCCAGCCAGGUGGCAGAGGGUGCUGCUGAGAGACCUGGUGGCUCCUUGAUACCAAUGAUGCUAUCGGGAUAAACAGGGAGUUAUUUGAUACCUCAAAAGCCUCCACCAGGUCGUUUUUAAGAGCUUCUUGUUUUGAUUUGUCUGCAAAAGUCUGCACAGACCUGCGGGGAAGAAGGAAAUGCAAGUCAGAGGCGAUGCAUUUGAGAGAAGGCGUUUUUUAACAGUUCUCCUGGCAUGUGAGUCAAUAGGAAGGAGAAGCACCUGAAACCAGGCUUAGAGGGAACAAAACUCAGCUUGCCUGUUUUAAUACAGAAAGCAGAAGGCAAAGUGAACACUUCAGUGAGUAUAUCAAAGCAAAAUUCACUCUAGCAAGGAUGGCACCAAGAGACACGCUUCCCCAGAAGUUCCACUCAGCCUCCAGUUGCUGGAGGGUGAUUCCCAAUUUUUUACAUUACAGAUUGGAAAAACCCCAGUGUACCACCAGCAAAGGGUGUUAGCGCUCUCGCUCUCCCAAUGACCGUGACGGGAAGGCAGAGAAAAUCCAGCCUCCACCCACGAACAUGAAAAGGGCCAGGCUGGGGGAGCUCCUGAACCUUUUUGCAGACUGUUCACCCAGGGUCGAGCAGCCACAUCAAGACUUCCCUCCAGUGUAUUCACCAGUGGGAAAGGCAGCCAGAGUUUCUGUUCUUGAAUUUGGUUUUCCAGUUUGUACCUUACCUAGAGCAGUUAGUGAAUCAAAGCAGCUGAAGAACAGAGAUACUGUCAGCAAGAUUAUUGCAGGGGUUCCCUUUAUGCUAAAAGUUUGGUUAUAGAAGAAAAGCUACAUUUUUUAGGAGUCAUCUUCGCUCACCGCCCUGUAAGAUCAUUGUGGAGGAACCUCCAUUUUCAAUGGUACAAUAAGAAACUUCCACUUUUAAAAAAGCCCUCUUAAAUGUGACCAUUGAUAGAAUACUAAUACUAAUAAUCUUCAGGAGUUGCUACCACAGAGAAGUGGUUAGGAUCCAGUUUGGUAGGAUUUCUCCCCACAUAAACCGUAUUUCAUACCCUUUUCAGUACUCAAAGCUACCUUAUUUUGCCUGGAUGCUGUCUCCUGUAAACAAGGCCGCUCUUUGUGUCAGUUAUUUUCCUAACAUUUUUAUAACAGUAUUUCCAUUCUCUUGUCUCUGGAGACUUCCGCUGCUUUAAUAAAAAUAUAUACAUUUUAUAUUUUCAUUUGUCACAGGCUAAAGAAGUGGUUCUUGGCCAUUAUCAACAAAUAGUGCAUUUUCCCCUUCGUCAGCUUAACAUGUUAAAGACAACAUCUGUAACUCAUUAUGAAUUGGAGUGGAAGGUUAAACUGGCUCAGGGUUAGUCACUGCCGUGCGUCCUAGACAUUCAGAGCUCCAGAGCAAAUGAGAGCAUAUGAACAAAUCCCUUUAAAGGCUGUGCAGAGCACAAGCAAGUGGAGGCUAGAAAUGUUUCAGUGGAGCUUGAGCAGGACUGGAUUUCAAGCUCCAAGGAAAUUCAAGAUACACCAGGCAAAUGGGGGAUGUGCACGUGAGGUGAGCUCACAUUUACUCAGAAGUCACAGGAAGUACCAGUCUUUUUUUUUUUUUUUUUUUUUUCCAAAACUGCAAGACUUCCAAGAUUUCAUUCCUUUCUGCAGGGAGGAUGCUAAGAUUACAGGGAGUUUCUUCAUUGAAGUGGUGUACCACAGCUGUAAAAAACUGAUGGUGCACAAGGGACAGAGUCCCUGGGGCUUCUGGAUCGAAUCAGUCCAAGCUAACACCACUUUGGGUACGUGACCACGCGCUCCUUUCUUGCUCCCAAGCUAGAGUGCAAAGUGGUAAAUCCUGCCACAUUUCAGAGCGUGAUAUUUCAAAUCAGGGGAAGGGGUAGAGUAACGUUGAAAAUAAAAAUCACAGCAUUUAGUUGGCCAUAUUAAGAAAUAACCCUUGGGUGAAACACAGAUCAAAUGUCGUUUAUCAGUCUGCGGGAGUUAGGGGUUAGUUCUGGUCUCAGUUAUCAUGCAGAGGUCUUGGCUGGGUGAGUCCUGGUUUAGUGCUGGUUGUCACACCUCACAGGCAGG
Molecule: RNA transcript, 3494 nt
Organism: Haliaeetus leucocephalus (bald eagle)
Lineage: Eukaryota; Metazoa; Chordata; Aves; Accipitriformes; Accipitridae
Gene: SLC66A1
Gene name: PQ loop repeat containing 2
Exons: 9
Source: RefSeq, a predicted model, not a curated record